Molecule: ribosomal RNA, 436 nt
Filed under: uncultured bacterium
Lineage: Bacteria
Description: bacterial SSU rRNA
Rfam family: Bacterial small subunit ribosomal RNA
Source: RNAcentral
UACGGAAGGCAGCAGUGGGGAAUAUUGGACAAUGGGCGAAAGCCUGAUCCAGCCAUGCCGCAUGAGUGAAGAAGGCCUUCGGGUUGUAAAGCUCUUUUAGUGAGAAAGAUAAUGACGGUACUCACAGAAGAAGUCCUGGCUAACUCCGUGCCAGCAGCCGCGGUAAUACGGAGAGGGCUAGCGUUAUUCGGAAUUAUUGGGCGUAAAGAGCGCGUAGGCUGAUUUAGUAAGUUAAAAGUGAAAUCCCAAAGCUUAACUUUGGAAUUGCUUUUUAAAACUGCUAGUCUAGAGAUUUGAAAGAGGAUAGAGGAAUUCCUAGUGUAGAGGUGAAAUUCGUAAAUAUUAGGAGGAACACCAGUGGCGAAGGCGUCUAUCUGGUUCAAAUCUGACGCUGAGGCGCGAAGGGCGUGGGGAGCGAAACGAGGGAUUAGAUACC